CUAGAGAGUGGCAGUUGGAGCAAAAAUCCCUGGCUUCAAGUAUUAUUUAAUAUUUUUUCAGAAGGCAUGAGAGGGUUUCAAAAGAGUGAAGUGCGGUUUAGUCUGUAAGGAAGCAUUUGAAGGUGACAGUGAAUUUCAUAAAGGACAUGCAACAGCCGGCUCCAAGUGAGGACCUAAAUCAUCACACUGCUCUCCUGUAUGGAGGAAGGCGAGGCCAUCUCCCCACAUGGAAUUAUUUUGUCACUGAGAAAAACAAAUAUGCUACCAAAAGAAUGAAGGAUGCUGGGUAAGGAGAAACAACAUUCGAAUAGCACAAUCUGAUUGU
Non-coding RNA from Microcebus murinus (gray mouse lemur), 325 nucleotides. NCBI's taxonomy places the organism in Eukaryota, Metazoa, Chordata, Mammalia, Primates, Cheirogaleidae. The record is from RefSeq and is a predicted model, not a curated record.